AGGGCCUACGGUGGAUGCCUUGGUGCUAGGCGUCGAUGAAGGGCGUGAUAAACUGCGAUAAGCUUUGGGUAAUAGUUCUAUGUGUUGAUCCAAAGAUUCCCGAAUCGGGCAACCGGAUAGACAGUUUAAUGUCUAUCGAUUGCGUUUGAAUGAAUGCAAUCGGUAACUGGGGGAAGUGAAACAUCUCAGUACCCCAAGGAACAGAAAGAAAAAUCGAUUCUCUGAGUAGCGGCGAGCGAAAUGGGAAUAGCCUAAACCAAAUAUGUGUGAUAGUCUGCGCACGUUGCAUAUUUGGUGUUGUGGGAUAUAAUCGGAGUGGCGUGCAGGUCACUCGGGAAGUUACAAAUAAGUUUUCUAGCUUAAGAACUCUGGAAUAGGUUCACCAUAGAAGGUGAUAGUCCUGUGAGCGAAAGAAAAUUUACUUCCUGGAUUUUGUUCCCGAGUACCACGGGAUAGCCAAACCUGUGGGAAUCUAGGAGGACCAUCUCCUAAGGCUAAAUAUGACCUAGCAACCGAUAGUGAAAAAGUACUGUGAAGGAAAGGUGAAAAGUUCCCCGGGAGGGAAGUGAAAUAGAACCUGAAACCGUAAUGGCCUACAAGCUGUGGAAGUGCUAGACCAAGCUUUGCUUGGGAUGCAUGACCGCGUGCCUUUUGCAUAAUGAGCCGGUGACUUACUCUGUGUAGCAAGAUUAAGCUUUUCUGAAGCGUAGUCGUAGUGAAAACGAGUCUGAAUAGGGCGCAUAGUUGCAUGGAGUAGACCCGAAACUGGGUGAUCUAUCCAUGGGCAAGGCGAAGCGUAUGUAAAAGUACGUGAAGGCCUGAACCCACCAAGGCUGAAAACUUGGGGGAUGACCUGUGGAUCGGAGUGAAAGGCUAAUCAAACCCAGUAAUAGCUGGUUCUCCCCGAAAUAGCUUUAGGGCUAGCCUUAUGUGUUCAGCGGUGGAGGUAGAGCUCUAAUUGGACUAGCGGCCCUACCAGGUUAGCAACUCCAGUUAAACUACAAAUGCCAUCGUUCCAAAGCAUAGGAGUCAGUCAGUGGGGGAUAAGCUCCAUUGACGAAAGGGAAACAGCCCGGACCGCCAGCUAAGGUCCCUAAAUACAAGUUAAGUGGCAAAGGAUGUUUUGUUACAUAGACAGCCAGGAUGUUGGCUUAGAAGCAGCCAUUCAUUUAAAGAGUGCGUAACAGCUCACUGGUCAAGCGACUUUGCACCGAAAAUUUCAGGGGCUUAAACUUGUUACCGAAGCUGCGGAUUGUCCUCGUUUACGAGGAUAGUGGUAGGGGAGCGUUCUAUAGUAGGUUGAAGGAGAAUUGAAAAACUCUCUGGACAAAUUAGAAGUGAUCAUGCCGGCAUGAGUAGCGAUAAAACAAGUGAGAAGCUUGUUCGCCGUAAGCCUAAGGUUUCCUGUGGAAGGCAAGUCCACACAGGGUUAGUCGCGUCCUAAGUCGAGGCUGAAGAGCGUAGACGAUGGGCAACAGGUUAAUAUUCCUGUACCACCACCAGGCGAUUGAAUCUAGGAGAGACGCAAACAUUAGAAUCUACUAGCGGAUGGAAGUGCUAGGUCAAGCGGACGGAGGUUCCGGUUAAUCCCGGAAAUUACCUCUGAAAGUGAUGAGGUGUCCUUAAGGACUGAACUGAUUCGGUUGUUUGCCAAGAAAAGAACUCCGAGAGGACAAAUGGUGGUGUGCGUACCGCAAACCGACACAGGUAGGCAAGGAGAAUAUCCUAAGGCGCUCGAGAGAACUCUCGCUAAGGAACUCGGCAAAAUGGCUCCGUAACUUCGGGAGAAGGAGCGCUUGAGUUGACUGGUUCGCCAGUCUAGCGAAAGCCGCAGUGAAAAGGCCCAUACGACUGUUUACUAAAAACACAGGUCUGUGCUAAAUCGUAAGAUGAUGUAUACGGACUGACGCCUGCCCGGUGCUGAAAAGUUAAGGAGAGGGGUUAGAGCUUAGGCUCGAAGCUCUGAACCGAAGCUUCAGUAAACGGCGGCGGUAACUAUAACCGUCCUAAGGUAGCGAAAUUCCUCGUCGGGUAAAAUCCGACCUGCACGAAUGGCGUAACGAUAUGGGCACUGUCUCAGCGAGAGACUCGGUGAAAUUGUAUUAUCGGUGAAGAUGCCGAUUACCCGUAAAAAGACGGAAAGACCCCGUGAACCUUUACUAUAGCUUGAUAUUGAAUUUGGAUUUAGCUUGUGUAGGAUAGGUGGGAG
This 2209-nucleotide ribosomal RNA is filed under the name marine metagenome. Its description in RNAcentral is "bacterial LSU rRNA". It matches the Rfam family "Bacterial large subunit ribosomal RNA", at positions 14 to 2153 of the family's 2925-position model. The record is from RNAcentral.